UACAUUUUAGUAUAAGAUGUAUAUAGACUUUUGAUGUCUGAGGAAAUAGUUUGAUUCUAUUAAAUGUAA
This 69-nucleotide transfer RNA is filed under the name Myrmeleon immanis. Its description in RNAcentral is "tRNA-Gln". Lineage: Eukaryota; Metazoa; Arthropoda; Insecta; Neuroptera; Myrmeleontidae. The record is from RNAcentral.